CUACGGGUUGCUCCAGUGAGGAAUAUUGGUCAAUGGGCGAGAGCCUGAACCAGCCAUCCCGCGUGCAGGAUGACGGCCCUAUGGGUUGUAAACUGCUUUUCCAUACCAAGAAACCUGAUUACGUGUAAUUAGUUGCCGGUAGUAUGGGAAUAAGCAUCGGCUAACUCGGUGCCAGCAGCCGCGGUAAUACGGAGGAUGCAAGCGUUAUCCGGAUUCAUUGGUUUUAAAGGGUGCGCAGGUGGGCUUGUAAGUCAGUGGUGAAAUGUUGCCGCUUAACGGUAAAAUUGCCAUUGAUACUGCAAGUCUUGAAUAUAGUUGAGGUAGGCGGAAUGUGUUGUGUAGCGGUGAAAUGCAUAUAUAUGACACAGAACACCGAUUGCGAAGGCAGCUUACUAAGCUAUUAUUGACGCUGAGGCACGAAAGCGUGGGGAUCGAACAGGAUUAGAUACCCUCGUAGUC
Molecule: ribosomal RNA, 459 nt
Filed under: uncultured bacterium
Lineage: Bacteria
Description: partial 16S ribosomal RNA
Rfam family: Bacterial small subunit ribosomal RNA
Source: RNAcentral